CUGGUUGAUCCUGCCAGCGGCCACUGCUAUUGGGUUUCGCUUAAGCCAUGCGAGUCGAGAGGGUUCGGCCCUCGGCAGACUGCUCAGUAACACGUGGAUAACCUACCCUUGAAACGGGGAUAAACCCGGGAAACUGGGUAUAAUACCCGAUAGAUCUCGACUGCUGGAAUGCAUCGAGCUUUAAAGCUCCGGCGCUCAAGGAUGAAUCUGCGGCCUAUCAGGUAGUAGUGGGUGUAGCGUACCUACUAGCCUACGACGGGUACGGGUUGUGAGAGCAAGAGCCCGGAGAUGGAUUCUGAGACACGAAUCCAGGCCCUACGGGGUGCAGCAGGCGCGAAAACUUUACAAUGCUGGAAACAGCGAUAAGGGGACCUCGAGUGCCAGGUUACAAAUCUGGCUGUCGUGAUGCCUAAAAAGCAUUGCAUAGCAAGGGCCGGGCAAGACCGGUGCCAGCCGCCGCGGUAACACCGGCGGCUCGAGUGGUAACCGUUAUUAUUGGGUCUAAAGGGUCUGUAGCCGGCCGGAUAAGCCUCUUGGGAAAUCUGGCAGCUUAACUGUCAGGCUUUCAGGAGAUACUGUCUGGCUCGAGGCCGGGAGAGGUGAGAGGUACUUCAGGGGUAGGGGUGAAAUCUUGUAAUCCUUGAAGGACCACCAGUGGCGAAGGCGUCUCACCAGAACGGACCUGACGGCAAGGGACGAAAGCUAGGGGCACGAACCGGAUUAGAUACCCGGGUAGUCCUAGCCGUAAACGAUACUCGCUAGGUGUCGGCCACGGUGCGACCGUUGUCGGUGCCGUAGGGAGGCCGUGAAGCGAGCCACCUGGGAAGUACGGCCGCAAGGCUGAAACUUAAAGGAAUUGGCGGGGGAGCACCACAACGGGUGGAGCUUGCGGUUUAAUUGGAUUCAACGCCGGG
RNAcentral lists this ribosomal RNA (914 nucleotides) under uncultured archaeon. Its description in RNAcentral is "bacterial SSU rRNA". It matches the Rfam family "Archaeal small subunit ribosomal RNA", at positions 4 to 922 of the family's 1478-position model. The record is from RNAcentral.